This 429-nucleotide ribosomal RNA is filed under the name Gemmatimonadota bacterium. RNAcentral describes it as "Gemmatimonadetes bacterium partial 16S ribosomal RNA". It matches the Rfam family "Bacterial small subunit ribosomal RNA", at positions 355 to 776 of the family's 1533-position model. The record is from RNAcentral. Lineage: Bacteria; Pseudomonadati; Gemmatimonadota.
UAGGGAAUCUUCGGCAAUGGACGAAAGUCUGACCGAGCAACGCCGCGUGAGUGAAGAAGGUUUUCGGAUCGUAAAACUCUGUUGUUAGAGAAGAACAAGGACGUUAGUAACUGAACGUCCCCUGACGGUAUCUAACCAGAAAGCCACGGCUAACUACGUGCCAGCAGCCGCGGUAAUACGUAGGUGGCAAGCGUUGUCCGGAUUUAUUGGGCGUAAAGCGAGCGCAGGCGGUUUCUUAAGUCUGAUGUGAAAGCCCCCGGCUCAACCGGGGAGGGUCAUUGGAAACUGGGAGACUUGAGUGCAGAAGAUGAGAGUGGAAUUCCAUUUGGUGCUGUGAAAUGCGUAGAUAUAUGGAGGAACACCAGUUGCGAACGUGGCUCCCUGGUCUUUAACUGACGCUGAGGCUCGAAAGCGUGGGGAGCAAACAGG